GACGAACGCUGGCGGCGCGCCUAACACAUGCAAGUCGAACGGGGACUGUCCGGAGCUUGCUUCGGACGGUUUCAGUGGCGGACGGGUGAGUAACGCGUGAGGAACCUGCCUUUCAGAGGGGGAUAACGUCCGGAAACGGACGCUAAUACCGCAUGACAUCCCGGGAUCACAUGGUUUUGGGAUCAUAGGAGCAAUCCGCUGGAAGAUGGACUCGCGUCCGAUUAGCCGGUUGGUGAGGUAAUGGCCCACCAAAGCUGCGAUCGGUAGCCGGACUGAGAGGUUGAACGGCCACAUUGGGACUGAGACACGGCCCAGACUCCUACGGGAGGCAGCAGUGGGGGAUCUUGCACAAUGGAGGGAACUCUGAUGCAGCGACGCCGCGUGAGGGAAGACGGUUUUCGGAUUGUAAACCUCUGUCCCCGGUGACGAUAAUGACGGUAGCCGAGGAGGAAGCUCCGGCUAACUACGUGCCAGCAGCCGCGGUAAUACGUAGGGAGCGAGCGUUGUCCGGAUUUACUGGGUGUAAAGGGUGCGUAGGCGGCUGAACAAGUCAGGUGUGAAAACCAUCGGCUUAACUGAUGGAUUGCACUUGAAACUGUGCAGCUUGAGUGAAGCAGAGGCAGGCGGAAUUCCCGGUGUAGCGGUGAAAUGCGUAGAGAUC
RNAcentral lists this ribosomal RNA (661 nucleotides) under uncultured Oscillospiraceae bacterium. RNAcentral describes it as "bacterial SSU rRNA". It matches the Rfam family "Bacterial small subunit ribosomal RNA", at positions 28 to 698 of the family's 1533-position model. Lineage: Bacteria; Bacillati; Bacillota; Clostridia; Eubacteriales; Oscillospiraceae. The record is from RNAcentral.